UACGGAGGGUGCAAGCGUUAUCCGGAUUCACUGGGUUUAAAGGGUGCGUAGGUGGGUUGAUAAGUCAGUGGUGAAAUCCCCGAGCUUAACUUGGGAACUGCCAUUGAUACUAUUGAUCUUGAAUACCGUGGAGGUCAGUGGAAUAUGUCAUGUAGCGGUGAAAUGCUUAGAUAUGACAUAGAACACCAAUUGCGAAGGCAGCUGGCUACGCGAAUAUUGACACUGAUGCACGAAAGCGUGGGGAUCAAACAGG
This 253-nucleotide ribosomal RNA is filed under the name uncultured bacterium. RNAcentral describes it as "partial 16S ribosomal RNA". It matches the Rfam family "Bacterial small subunit ribosomal RNA", at positions 524 to 776 of the family's 1533-position model. The record is from RNAcentral.